Cyprinodon tularosa is the source of this 159-nucleotide long non-coding RNA. RefSeq lists it as uncharacterized. The record is from RefSeq and is a predicted model, not a curated record. NCBI's taxonomy places the organism in Eukaryota, Metazoa, Chordata, Actinopteri, Cyprinodontiformes, Cyprinodontidae. The transcript has 2 exons.
GCCGGUGUGACAGAUCAACUGGGGAGGAGAUUAACUGAUUAGAACGAUGUGGUAAAGAACUUGUAUCCUCAGCAAAGCAGAUAGUGCAAAGAAUCCCACACAGAGAACAGCGUCGUUCACAAGUGUAAAGAAAAAAUACAAAUAAAAGUCUGUCUCACA